CCCCCGCCCCGGAAACAAAGUCAUGUAAAUAUCCCAUGUGCUGUGGGCAGAGCUCCAGUGAGAACAAACCUCUGUGCUCCAAGGUCGGAUUAGGAGUGUGUUCAGAUAAUGACAUCUGAAAACAGGAUGGCUGGGAGCUGCAGCAGAGCAACGAGGGGGCUUUGAAAGGGAGUCUAAUCCUCUCUGUUAAUAAGGAGGCAGCUGCUGCCAAUGCAUCAGGCUUGGCAAGCGCUGCUUUGCUGCUCCUGGGCUCUCUGACGGGUGGCAGAGAGGUGCAAAGACCCAGCUGCUUUGAGAUGGUAGGGGAAGAGCCACACAGGAGGGAUUUUCUGCUUUCCUUGGGUAAAACAAGAACUUUGACAUUGCUCUUUCCCCCCAUCCCCAACAGCACUUUGGCAGGAUGGGCAUCAGAGCAGUGCUUCAUGCUGGGCCAGUGUCUAGGAGCAGUUCAUCUGACACUGCAGAGGCUGUGACCGAGGCUGAGAGGGUGGAUAUGCAGACACCCCGAUACCUGCCAGAACCAGUUGCAUUUCCAGGGCACUCAAGCCUGGCCUUAUCAGGAAGGCAGCUGGGUGUGUGCUGGGCUGUGUGCAGUCUCCCUGCCUCACUGGUGAAAGAACAGCUUUGGGCAGGGUGGAGGGCGUGGGGGUCAACACAGAGGCAGCUCUUGUGCAGAGUUACGUCCUGCUCCAUGUACCAAUUCCCACAAGGACUGCUAGGAUGUGUGCCUGUAAAGGUCUUCCACUGAGGGGCAAGUUGGUACCUGGCAGGUACCACGAGAGCAAUUGCUUUAGAGCACAUGAAGUGCUGUGAACACUUUUUUUUUUUUUUUUUUCAAAGUCACUUGCUUGCUUCCUUGUAAAAUGGCAUCUACUGCCCGUCCCCAUCUGCCUCGUUCAGAGCAAGGAUGCUGGUGAUGAAAGCCUGUUCUAGACCCACCUCCGGUGUGGAAGUGCCCAGGCCUGGGAUGAGUCUUGGAUAGGAGAAUGGUGGGGACAAGCUGUAUUGAGCUUGCAGUGGUUUUAUCUAAUCUAUUGUUCCUUUACAGUCAGCACUCAUGACUGCUGGAUCAGUUGUACCGAGGCAGUGUUGCGUCGCACUGUGGCUGUCAGGGCACCCUCUUCCCUGAAAGACUUUCUCAUCCCAGAUGGCAGUCGCCGUACGUGGGAAGCGCAUGGCGUAUACAACUUUCUGCAGCAGGAAAAAGCUAUGGAGUGGCCAGAAUCAAACCACAAUCUCCAGUAUCAACAUGCAACACAGACAAGGUUGGAGGCAAGAAUUUCUCACCAGGUGCAGAACUGCAAAGUUUCAGAGCAAGGGCAUGAAAAAGAGAGAUGAUACCUGGUACACUCUCUUCCUUUAGCCACUAGACAACAUCCAGUCCCUAGCACCCAGCUGAAGAUUAAAAGCCUCAACAGAUGUAAUCCCAAGCAAAUCUCAAUGUUCAUGAGGGAUAGCUGGAACAUGCUCGUGAGUGGAACCCAUGGCACCGUGGCUAGGAGCGUGAAUCCUCCUUCACUGGGAGCUCAGAGCAUUAAACUUGGCACAUGUAUCCUGGUCCUGCUGCAUUCAGAGACUGGAAAUACGACUACUGACGUGACUGUCCUAGUGCCUGCAUGCUGAGACAUUGCAACAGGGGAACACAGACUGAAACCAGUGACGUAUGUGUAUGCUGUGUUCACAUGAAGCUGUUGUGGCCUGACAUGGCAUGGUCUUCUCUGGAUAGUUACAUGGUUCCAUGCUCUCCUUACCGGCGCAGGUACAUCUUCCAUGGCUCAGAGAGCUUCUCCUGGACAAGUGCCUUCACUGCCUUGCCCAAGUACUGUG
Long non-coding RNA from Harpia harpyja (harpy eagle), 1827 nucleotides. RefSeq lists it as uncharacterized. The transcript is spliced from 6 exons. The record is from RefSeq and is a predicted model, not a curated record. NCBI's taxonomy places the organism in Eukaryota, Metazoa, Chordata, Aves, Accipitriformes, Accipitridae.